CAAAAGCUUAGUCCUGGCUUUUCUGUCAGCUUUAGCUAUUUUUACACAUGCAAGUCUCCGCAUCCCGGUGAGUAACUGGCCCCAACUCAAUAAUUUUGACUUAGGGAGCCGGCAUCAGGCACAGCACCUCUAGCCCACGACGCCUAGCCCAGCCACACCCCCAAGGGUACUCAGCAGUGAUAAACAUUUAGCCAUAAGCGCAAGCUUGACUCAGUUAAAGCUAACCAGGGCCGGUAAAACUCGUGCCAGCAACCGCGGUUACACGAGAGGCCCAAGUUGACAGAUACACUCGGCAUUAAGUGUGGUUAGGAAGAAAGACAACCAAAGGUUAAACGACCCCCUCGCUGUUAUACGCAUACGAGAGUCUGAAGCCCCAUUACGAGAGUGACUUUAAUUUACCUGAACCCACGAAAGCUAANGAACAANCUGGGAUUAGAUACCCCACUAUGCUUAGCCGUAAACUUAGAGCGCCCCCACUUCACCGCUCCGCCCGGGUAUUACGAACUUAAGUUUAANACCCAAAGGACUUGACGGUGCUUUAUAUCCACCUAGAGGAGCCUGUUCUAUAACCGAUACCCCCCGUUAAACCUCACCUUCUCUUGCUCCUUGCCGCCUAUAUACCGCCGUCGCCAGCUUACCCUGCAAAGGCUUAACAGUAAGCAAAACUGGCAAAGCCCAGAACGUCAGGUCGAGGUGUAGUGAAUGAGAGGGGAAGAUAUGGGCUACAUUUGCUAUUAAAGCACACACGGAACUCGUAUUGAAACAUACGU
This 770-nucleotide ribosomal RNA is filed under the name Syacium papillosum (dusky flounder). RNAcentral's name for it is "partial 12S ribosomal RNA". It matches the Rfam family "Bacterial small subunit ribosomal RNA", at positions 7 to 1269 of the family's 1533-position model. The record is from RNAcentral. Lineage: Eukaryota; Metazoa; Chordata; Actinopteri; Pleuronectiformes; Cyclopsettidae.